UUAAGUUAUUAAGGGCGCACGGUGGAUGCCUUGGCACUAGAAGCCGAUGGAGGACGUUACUAACGACGAUAUGCUUUGGGGAGCUGUAAGUAAGCUUUGAUCCAGAGAUUUCCGAAUGGGGAAACCCAGCAUGAGUUAUGUCAUGUUAUCGAUAUGUGAAUACAUAGCAUAUCAGAAGGCACACCCGGAGAACUGAAACAUCUUAGUACCCGGAGGAAGAGAAAGAAAAUUCGAUUCCCUUAGUAGCGGCGAGCGAAAUGGGAAGAGCCCAAACCAACAAGCUUGCUUGUUGGGGUUGUAGGACACUCUAUACGGAGUUACAAAGGACGACAUUAGACGAAUCAUCUGGAAAGAUGAAUCAAAGAAGGUAAUAAUCCUGUAGUCGAAAAUGUUGUCUCUCUUGAGUGGAUCCUGAGUACGACGGAGCACGUGAAAUUCCGUCGGAAUCUGGGAGGACCAUCUCCUAAGGCUAAAUACUCUCUAGUGACCGAUAGUGAACCAGUACCGUGAGGGAAAGGUGAAAAGCACCCCGGAAGGGGAGUGAAAUAGAACCUGAAACCGUGUGCUUACAAGUAGUCAGAGCCCGUUAAUGGGUGAUGGCGUGCCUUUUGUAGAAUGAACCGGCGAGUUACGAUUUGAUGCAAGGUUAAGCAGUAAAUGUGGAGCCGUAGCGAAAGCGAGUCUGAAUAGGGCGUUUAGUAUUUGGUCGUAGACCCGAAACCAGGUGAUCUACCCUUGGUCAGGUUGAAGUUCAGGUAACACUGAAUGGAGGACCGAACCGACUUACGUUGAAAAGUGAGCGGAUGAACUGAGGGUAGCGGAGAAAUUCCAAUCGAACCUGGAGAUAGCUGGUUCUCUCCGAAAUAGCUUUAGGGCUAGCCUCAAGUGAUGAUUAUUGGAGGUAGAGCACUGUUUGGACGAGGGGCCCCUCUCGGGUUACCGAAUUCAGACAAACUCCGAAUGCCAAUUAAUUUAACUUGGGAGUCAGAACAUGGGUGAUAAGGUCCGUGUUCGAAAGGGAAACAGCCCAGACCACCAGCUAAGGUCCCAAAAUAUAUGUUAAGUGGAAAAGGAUGUGGCGUUGCCCAGACAACUAGGAUGUUGGCUUAGAAGCAGCCAUCAUUUAAAGAGUGCGUAAUAGCUCACUAGUCGAGUGACACUGCGCCGAAAAUGUACCGGGGCUAAACAUAUUACCGAAGCUGUGGAUUGUCCUUUGGACAAUGGUAGGAGAGCGUUCUAAGGGCGUUGAAGCAUGAUCGUAAGGACAUGUGGAGCGCUUAGAAGUGAGAAUGCCGGUGUGAGUAGCGAAAGACGGGUGAGAAUCCCGUCCACCGAUUGACUAAGGUUUCCAGAGGAAGGCUCGUCCGCUCUGGGUUAGUCGGGUCCUAAGCUGAGGCCGACAGGCGUAGGCGAUGGAUAACAGGUUGAUAUUCCUGUACCACCUAUAAUCGUUUUAAUCGAUGGGGGGACGCAGUAGGAUAGGCGAAGCGUGCGAUUGGAUUGCACGUCUAAGCAGUAAGGCUGAGUAUUAGGCAAAUCCGGUACUCGUUAAGGCUGAGCUGUGAUGGGGAGAAGACAUUGUGUCUUCGAGUCGUUGAUUUCACACUGCCGAGAAAAGCCUCUAGAUAGAAAAUAGGUGCCCGUACCGCAAACCGACACAGGUAGUCAAGAUGAGAAUUCUAAGGUGAGCGAGCGAACUCUCGUUAAGGAACUCGGCAAAAUGACCCCGUAACUUCGGGAGAAGGGGUGCUCUUUAGGGUUAACGCCCAGAAGAGCCGCAGUGAAUAGGCCCAAGCGACUGUUUAUCAAAAACACAGGUCUCUGCUAAACCGUAAGGUGAUGUAUAGGGGCUGACGCCUGCCCGGUGCUGGAAGGUUAAGAGGAGUGGUUAGCUUCUGCGAAGCUACGAAUCGAAGCCCCAGUAAACGGCGGCCGUAACUAUAACGGUCCUAAGGUAGCGAAAUUCCUUGUCGGGUAAGUUCCGACCCGCACGAAAGGCGUAACGAUUUGGGCACUGUCUCAACGAGAGACUCGGUGAAAUCAUAGUACCUGUGAAGAUGCAGGUUACCCGCGACAGGACGGAAAGACCCCGUGGAGCUUUACUGUAGCCUGAUAUUGAAAUUCGGCACAGCUUGUACAGGAUAGGUAGGAGCCUUUGAAACGUGAGCGCUAGCUUACGUGGAGGCGCUGGUGGGAUACUACCCUAGCUGUGUUGGCUUUCUAACCCGCACCACUUAUCGUGGUGGGAGACAGUGUCAGGCGGGCAGUUUGACUGGGGCGGUCGCCUCCUAAAAGGUAACGGAGGCGCUCAAAGGUUCCCUCAGAAUGGUUGGAAAUCAUUCAUAGAGUGUAAAGGCAUAAGGGAGCUUGACUGCGAGACCUACAAGUCGAGCAGGGUCGAAAGACGGACUUAGUGAUCCGGUGGUUCCGCAUGGAAGGGCCAUCGCUCAACGGAUAAAAGCUACCCCGGGGAUAACAGGCUUAUCUCCCCCAAGAGUUCACAUCGACGGGGAGGUUUGGCACCUCGAUGUCGGCUCAUCGCAUCCUGGGGCUGUAGUCGGUCCCAAGGGUUGGGCUGUUCGCCCAUUAAAGCGGUACGCGAGCUGGGUUCAGAACGUCGUGAGACAGUUCGGUCCCUAUCCGUCGUGGGCGUAGGAAAUUUGAGAGGAGCUGUCCUUAGUACGAGAGGACCGGGAUGGACAUACCUCUGGUGUACCAGUUGUCGUGCCAACGGCAUAGCUGGGUAGCUAUGUGUGGACGGGAUAAGUGCUGAAAGCAUCUAAGCAUGAAGCCCCCCUCAAGAUGAGAUUUCCCAACUUCGGUUAUAAGAUCCCUCAAAGAUGAUGAGGUUAAUAGGUUCGAGGUGGAAGCAUGGUGACAUGUGGAGCUGACGAAUACUAAUCGAUCGAAGACUUAAUCAA
Molecule: ribosomal RNA, 2921 nt
Filed under: Staphylococcus aureus W50092
Lineage: Bacteria; Bacillati; Bacillota; Bacilli; Caryophanales; Staphylococcaceae
Description: bacterial LSU rRNA
Rfam family: Bacterial large subunit ribosomal RNA
Source: RNAcentral